GGCUCCGUGGCGUAAUGGUGGCGCGUCGGAUUCCAAGUUGCCAAAGCUGUCCAGGCAAGGUACCAUCCGAAGGUUGUGGGUUCGAUCCCCACCGGGGUCA
RNAcentral lists this transfer RNA (100 nucleotides) under Gonium pectorale. It matches the Rfam family "tRNA". Rfam says of the family: Transfer RNA (tRNA) molecules are approximately 80 nucleotides in length. Their secondary structure includes four short double-helical elements and three loops (D, anti-codon, and T loops). The record is from Rfam by way of RNAcentral. Lineage: Eukaryota; Viridiplantae; Chlorophyta; Chlorophyceae; Chlamydomonadales; Volvocaceae.